This is a long non-coding RNA of Arachis stenosperma, 393 nucleotides long. RefSeq lists it as uncharacterized. NCBI's taxonomy places the organism in Eukaryota, Viridiplantae, Streptophyta, Magnoliopsida, Fabales, Fabaceae. The transcript has 3 exons. The record is from RefSeq and is a predicted model, not a curated record.
ACACUCCAAGGCUGGUCAUUUACUCCCUUUGGCCGAAAAUGUGAAGAGAGAAAAGAGAGAAACUUUCAUGACCCUUUAAUCUUCAAAGCUUGAUUUCUUCUUAACUAAAACUCAAAUCAAAACUCCGAUUUCACCAAAAUGAUCCUCUCUUCUUCCUCUACAUAACCAUGUGACUUAUCAAGGCUGGAAAUAAGGAAUCAUGCUUAACUUGACUUGAGGGCCAAGAAACGUGAAUUUUCAGCAAGUAUAAGGAGGAAAAAGUGCUUAAGGACCACCUGAAAAUCUAACUGAAUUAGGAGCAGCAAAACCAGGUAGGGUUUGACGAAUUUAAUCUUGAUUGAUUGUGUUUGAGUUGUGUGAUUAUGAUAUGGUUUGGCUGUGCUUGAAAUUGAU